AGGACGAACGCUGGCGGCGUGCUUAACACAUGCAAGUCGAGCGGAAAGGCCCUUCGGGGUACUCGAGCGGCGAACGGGUGAGUAACACGUGAGCAACCUGCCCUUAGCUUCGGGAUAGCUCCGGGAAACCGGAAUUAAUACCGGAUAUGACUAUGGCCGACAUCAGCCAUGGUGGAAAGUUUUUCGGCUAGGGAUGGACUCGCGGCCUAUCAGCUAGUUGGUGAGGUAACGGCUCACCAAGGCGACGACGGGUAGCCGGCCUGAGAGGGCGACCGGCCACACUGGGACUGAGACACGGCCCAGACUCCUACGGGAGGCAGCAGUGGGGAAUAUUGCGCAAUGGGCGAAAGCCUGACGCAGCGACGCCGCGUGGGGGAUGAAUGCCUUCGGGUUGUAAACCCCUUUCAGCAGGGACGAAGCGAAAGUGACGGUACCUGCAGAAGAAGCGCUGGCUACUACGCGCCAGCAGCCGC
RNAcentral lists this ribosomal RNA (473 nucleotides) under uncultured bacterium. RNAcentral describes it as "SSU rRNA". It matches the Rfam family "Bacterial small subunit ribosomal RNA", at positions 26 to 518 of the family's 1533-position model. The record is from RNAcentral.